This 497-nucleotide ribosomal RNA is filed under the name uncultured bacterium. RNAcentral describes it as "partial 16S ribosomal RNA". It matches the Rfam family "Bacterial small subunit ribosomal RNA", at positions 28 to 507 of the family's 1533-position model. The record is from RNAcentral.
GAUGAACGCUGGCGGCGUGCCUAAUACAUGCAAGUCGAGCGAACAGAUGAGGAGCUUGCUCCUCUGACGUUAGCGGCGGACGGGUGAGUAACACGUGGAUAACCUACCUAUAAGACUGGGAUAACUUCGGGAAACCGGAGCUAAUACCGGAUAAUAUAUUGAACCGCAUGGUUCAAUAGUGAAAGACGGUUUUGCUGUCACUUAUAUAUGGAUCCGCGCCGCAUUAGCUAGUUGGUAAGGUAACGGCUUACCAAGGCAACGAUUCGUAGCCGACCUGAGAGGGUGAUCGGCCACACUGGAACUGAGACACGGUCCAGACUCCUACGGGAGGCAGCAAUAGGGAAUCCUCCGCAAUGGGCGAAAGCCUGACGGAGCAACGCCGCGUGAGUGAUGAAGGUCUUCGGAUCGUAAAACUCUGUUAUUAGGGAAGAACAAAUGUGUAAGUAACUAUGCACGUCUUGACGGUACCUAAUCAGAAAGCCACGGCUAACUACGUG